This 665-nucleotide ribosomal RNA is filed under the name Arthrobacter sp. Its description in RNAcentral is "bacterial SSU rRNA". It matches the Rfam family "Bacterial small subunit ribosomal RNA", at positions 331 to 1005 of the family's 1533-position model. Lineage: Bacteria; Bacillati; Actinomycetota; Actinomycetes; Micrococcales; Micrococcaceae. The record is from RNAcentral.
UUUUACUCCUUACCGGAGGCAGCAGUGGGGAAUAUUGCACAAUGGGCGCAAGCCUGAUGCAGCGACGCCGCGUGAGGGAUGACGGCCUUCGGGUUGUAAACCUCUUUCAGUAGGGAAGAAGCGAAAGUGACGGUACCUGCAGAAGAAGCGCCGGCUAACUACGUGCCAGCAGCCGCGGUAAUACGUAGGGCGCAAGCGUUAUCCGGAAUUAUUGGGCGUAAAGAGCUCGUAGGCGGUUUGUCGCGUCUGCCGUGAAAGUCCGGGGCUCAACUCCGGAUCUGCGGUGGGUACGGGCAGACUAGAGUGAUGUAGGGGAGACUGGAAUUCCUGGUGUAGCGGUGAAAUGCGCAGAUAUCAGGAGGAACACCGAUGGCGAAGGCAGGUCUCUGGGCAUUAACUGACGCUGAGGAGCGAAAGCAUGGGGAGCGAACAGGAUUAGAUACCCUGGUAGUCCAUGCCGUAAACGUUGGGCACUAGGUGUGGGGGACAUUCCACGUUUUCCGCGCCGUAGCUAACGCAUUAAGUGCCCCGCCUGGGGAGUACGGCCGCAAGGCUAAAACUCAAAGGAAUUGACGGGGGCCCGCACAAGCGGCGGAGCAUGCGGAUUAAUUCGAUGCAACGCGAAGAACCUUACCAAGGCUUGACAUGAACGCGUAAUACCUGAG